UGAGGAAUAUUGGUCAAUGGGGGCAACCCUGAACCAGCCAAGUCGCGUGAAGGAUGAAGGUCUUAUGGAUUGUAAACUUCUUUUACACGGGAAUAAAGUGGGGGACGUGUCCCCCUUUGCAUGUACCGUGUGAAUAAGGAUCGGCUAACUCCGUGCCAGCAGCCGCGGUAAUACGGAGGAUCCGAGCGUUAUCCGGAUUUAUUGGGUUUAGAGGGUGCGCAGGCGGGAUGUUAAGUCGGCGGUGAAAUUUUGCAGCUCAACUGUAAAAGUGCCUUCGAUACUGGCCUCCUUGAGUGUGGAUGAAGUAGGCGGAAUUUGUGGUGUAGCGGUGAAAUGCUUAGAUAUCACGAGGAACUCCGAUUGCGCAGGCAGCUUACUAAGCCACAACUGACGCUCAUGCACGAAGGCGUGGGGAUCAAACA
RNAcentral lists this ribosomal RNA (422 nucleotides) under uncultured bacterium. RNAcentral's name for it is "bacterial SSU rRNA". It matches the Rfam family "Bacterial small subunit ribosomal RNA", at positions 355 to 774 of the family's 1533-position model. The record is from RNAcentral.